Molecule: long non-coding RNA, 1603 nt
Filed under: Homo sapiens (human)
Lineage: Eukaryota; Metazoa; Chordata; Mammalia; Primates; Hominidae
Description: HSALNT0369711
Source: RNAcentral
CUAAUGUUCCUGGAUGCAGAGACAUACCUAUUUGCGGCCUACUUCCUAUUCUCCAAGUGCAUUUUAAUUCCCCUGACUGCAUGAUUUUGUUCAGCAUUUAUGAAUAUCAUCUGUCUAAUCUGGAGAAACACGUCUUAUAGUUGGCCACUCUCAUGGUUCUUGUUGCCUUCUGUUGUUUGGAGGAAUCUAAGGAUUUAUGGAAGUUAUGUUGGUAUAUCAGAAGCUUGUUGGUAUAUAUUUGAGUAGAAGGGCUUCAAUGAAGUCAACUUAUACCACUAAGUGGAUUGUUGAUUCUUCGAUGGAUGAGGCUGUAUAAGGGGAUCAACAUUAAUCAAUGUUGCUGACAGGCUGGACAUUCAGCAGCAACCUUGACAAGAGAAUGAAGGCCAAAUUGAGUUUCCUUGAGCAACUCAUUUAACGUUAAGAAUCAAGAUGGUGCCCAAGCUCAGAUGACAUCCUUUCUAACCCAUUUGGAAGGCUCCUCUCAUAGGAGGUGUGAAAGAAAAGAGAAUGGAAAGGAACAGGCUCUUCUCUUGAAGAAAAGCCCUCAGUCCAUACAGCCAGACUUUGUCUACAUAUGCCUUUCUAUGGGAUGCUGAGAGACCAAGGGCUUCUGACAUAGACAUGUGAGAAAUACUGGCUUUAAGUAUACUAUACUCAGUGUCAAAAGCUUUCAGGAUGCAAGAAAUUCCUGAAUUUGAGUCUCCAAAAUUUUAAACAAGGAAAGGAAGUAAAAAUUAUCUCUUUUUCGAUGUAUGGCCCUAUAGUUGGCCAAAAAUGAUUGCUUCUGUUGUUAGAUAUUCAUGUAUAUUUAAGAUUAAAGAAGGUGAUAUUGAUGUGCAAAUAUGAGAGUAAAUUGACAGACAGAUAACCUAAAAAAGUACAGUAAAAUAAAGUUAAGAGUUGUGAUGAAUACCUAAAGGUCCAUUGCCAGAUGAAUGUGAAGACGGAAUGUGAUUUAUAUAUAUAGUGGAAUAUUAUUCAAUUAAAAAGAAAAUGCUAACACUUGCUAAUAUAUAUAAACCUUCAAGACAUUAUGCUAAGUGAAAGAAGCCAGAUACCAAAGGACAAAUAUUGCACUGUUCCACAUAUAUGAAGUGAACAUCACAUAUUGCUGAAGUUCUCAUCAUCAGAAAGAGGCAGAGCUAAGAUUUAAAUCCAGACAUGCCUGGUUCUGAAUUCAGUUGUCUUCCUACACCCAGGAGCUUAUUACAUGCAUUGUGCUAGUCUUCCUGGAAAUCAGGCAAACUCAGUCCACUGCACCUCAUCUCCUUAUGUAAUAACCUGGAGAGCGGUGAGAGCCAUCUGCUUCAAGAGCGACAUAUUUGAGUCCAUAAGGUAAUAGGUUGGCAGAGAACAGAAGGAUUAUGGCAUUGCCAUUUGGCAUUCUUGACUUACUCUGCAUUUAUAAAAUCGAAAUACAUAGUCCAUCAUGUUCUCACAGAGCCUACCAUUAUCAGUCAUUCUGAAAUAAACAUGGUUAGGGACAUCAUAUUCAAAAUAAGUGAUCCUUGUUUUCGGGAAUGAUGUCUGGCAGGAGGAGUUUUUAAAUCCUGCUUUCUGAAGCACUAGCUUACAAAUGACUUUGUGAAGUGUAUUUUGA